This 255-nucleotide ribosomal RNA is filed under the name uncultured Gluconacetobacter sp. RNAcentral's name for it is "partial 16S ribosomal RNA". It matches the Rfam family "Bacterial small subunit ribosomal RNA", at positions 82 to 352 of the family's 1533-position model. Lineage: Bacteria; Pseudomonadati; Pseudomonadota; Alphaproteobacteria; Acetobacterales; Acetobacteraceae. The record is from RNAcentral.
GGUUUCGGCCUUAGUGGCGGACGGGUGAGUAACGCGUAGGUAUCUAUCCACGGGUGGGGGAUAACAGCGGGAAACUGCUGCUAAUACCGCAUGACACCUGAGGGUCAAAGGCGCGAGUCGCCUGUGGAGGAGCCUGCGUACGAUUAGCUUGUUGGUGGGGUAACUGCCUACCAAGGCGACGAUCGUUAGCUGGUCUGAGAGGAUGAUCAGCCACAUUGGGACUGAGACACGGCCCAAACUCCUACGGGAGGCAGC